This 66-nucleotide transfer RNA is filed under the name Adoxophyes honmai (smaller tea tortrix). RNAcentral's name for it is "tRNA-Gly". The record is from RNAcentral. Lineage: Eukaryota; Metazoa; Arthropoda; Insecta; Lepidoptera; Tortricidae.
AUUUAUAUAAUAUAUUUAGUAUAUUUGACUUCCAAUCAAAAAGUUUAAUUUUUAUUAAUAUAAACA